AUAACUUCGGAAGAUGGUCAAGGUAGCUUGCUUCCAAGCCACUGCACUAGAUGGGCAUGUAGUCGUAGUAGUCGGCCCAGAAUGCCUCUCUUCUUUACUAAAAUACUAUUUCGGAUGAAUGGGGAAUUACGUCGCUCUUUGAUCUGCAGAAUAAGGCUUAGGAGCUCUCUCUUUUAUGGCAGAGAUCUCUCCAUACCAAGAAACCGAAUCACAAUGGAUCGAAGCCCUCCUUUUCCUUCCAAUUAGUGAGAUUCUAUCUCUUACUUGGGAAAUUGUGGUCAAGCCCUCCCUUUAUUCCUCGGAAUCGAGCGGGCAGCAAGAAUUAGAAUCAACCUAUAUAACAUCUGUUCCCAUGUAGUCGGCAUUCUAGAAGCAAAGCUUCCCGGUCGCCUGCCUCCUUGUGUGGAAAUGCUUUUCAUGAUCUCCAGCUCUUUCCCACCAGCUCGUUCUUUACUAGGCAUCUAGGCGAACCCGCCGGGUUAAUUAACUCAACGUAAAGAAAGCUCAUUAGGUCAAAACUAGGGGAGUGCUUACUAAUAGCGAAAGGUUAACAUCUCUCCGCCCUUAUUAGUAGUAGCGAACAUCAGGUAACUUCGUGCUGUAAAACGACAGAUUGGUAAUGAAAGGCAAUGUACUAAGAAAGCGCAACUCUAUUAGACCUUUAUCUGGAAAAAGCUGGAAGAAAGGCGAGAGCCUCUCUUCUUUACUAAAAUACUAUUUCGGAUGAAUGGGGAAUUACGUCGCUCUUUGAUCUGCAGAAUAAGGCUUAGGAGCUCUCUCUUUUAUGGCAGAGAUCUCUCCAUACCAAGAAACCGAAUCACAAUGGAUCGAAGCCCUCCUUUUCCUUCCAAUUAGUGAGAUUCUAUCUCUUACUUGGGAAAUUGUGGUCAAGCCCUCCCUUUAUUCCUCGGAAUCGAGCGGGCAGCAAGAAUUAGAACCAACCUAUAUAACAUCUGUUCCCAUGUAGUCGGCAUUCUAGAAGCAAAGC
This 988-nucleotide long non-coding RNA is filed under the name Nicotiana benthamiana. RNAcentral describes it as "long non-coding RNA (NBEN_LNC024263)". The record is from RNAcentral. Lineage: Eukaryota; Viridiplantae; Streptophyta; Magnoliopsida; Solanales; Solanaceae.